Molecule: ribosomal RNA, 253 nt
Filed under: uncultured bacterium
Lineage: Bacteria
Description: partial 16S ribosomal RNA
Rfam family: Bacterial small subunit ribosomal RNA
Source: RNAcentral
UACGUAGGGGGCAAGCGUUGUCCGGAUUUAUUGGGCGUAAAGAGCGUGUAGGCGGUUUGGUAGGUCCGCUGUGAAAACUCGAGGCUCAACCUCGAGACGCCGGUGGAAACCAUCAGACUAGAGUCCGGAAGAGGAGAGUGGAAUUCCCGGUGUAGCGGUGAAAUGCGCAGAUAUCGGGAGGAACACCGGUGGCGAAGGCGGUUCUCUGGGCCUUACCUGACGCUGAGGAGCGAAAGCGUGGGGAGCGAACAGG